AGAUGGACGAGAAGCUGAGUGCAGGCCUAAGCUCAUCACAGAGGAACUUGUAGCCUUCCGCUUCCCAAUUACCUCUUGUGGCUCAACCCAGCGGGAGGAGAUUGGAAGCUUUGUGUAUGAAACUGACAUCUUGGGGAAGAGGAUGAUUCGGACGGGGCAACAGGGCUCAAUAACCAGGGACAGCACCUUCAGCCUGCACGUCCAGUGCAAGUACAAGGGGGAGCAUGAAGCUGGCUUACAGAUCAACGUCUCAGUUUACACACUCCCUCCACCACUAGCUGCUUCUGAAGAUGGGAUUCUGAGG
Molecule: long non-coding RNA, 304 nt
Organism: Rhincodon typus (whale shark)
Lineage: Eukaryota; Metazoa; Chordata; Chondrichthyes; Orectolobiformes; Rhincodontidae
Exons: 3
Source: RefSeq, a predicted model, not a curated record